RNAcentral lists this long non-coding RNA (879 nucleotides) under Marmota monax (woodchuck). The record is from RNAcentral. Lineage: Eukaryota; Metazoa; Chordata; Mammalia; Rodentia; Sciuridae.
GUCUAUUUCUGGACUAUCUAUAGUACAGUGGUCUAUAUAUUAUUUUGUUAGUACAUUUAUUACUAUUAGGAUUGAAGUCAGGGGUACCUAACCACUGAGCCACAUCCCCAGCUAAGUUGCUGAGGCUGGCUUCAGACUUGUGAUCCUCCUGCCUCAGCCUCCUGAGUCAAUACUGUUUUAAUUACUUUAGUUACAGCUGUUUGGAAGUUGCACCUUGUAAGCUCUUCAGUUUUUUCUUUUUUCAAUAUCAUUUUGUUAAUGUCAGAUUUUUUUUUCACUUCCAUCUGAACUGAGAAUUGACUUUUCCAGUUCUUCAAAAAAGGCUUUAGGAAUUGUAUUGAAUUUGUACCUUGCUGUGUAUAUCAUUGACAACUGUGUAUUAUUAUUAUUUAAUAUUUUUAUUUCAGAUGUAUACAACACCUUUAUUUAAUUUUAUGUAUUUUUAUAUGGUGCUGAGGAUUGAACCCAGUGCGGCAAACCUGCUAGAUGAGCACUGUACCACUGGGCCACAACCCUAGACCUACAACUGGAUAUUAUUGACAACAGUUAUGUGUACCUAUCCAUGAACAUGGGAUAUAUUCCCAUUCUUUUAGUUCUUUGUUAAUUUUAUUCAGCUUUCAGGUUUUCAGGAUGUGUCAUUCAUUUAGAUGAUAUUUUGAUUGAAUUACUUCCUCUUCAUAUUUAUUGCUAGUGUGGAAAACAACUGUUUAUGUAUAUUGUUAUUGUAUCCUUGCAACUUUACUGAAUUUGUUUAUUAGCUAUGGUAGCUAUACUGUGGAUUCUUUGGAAUUUUCUACAUCUUAGACAGUGUAGUCUGUUAGUCUGUGAUUACAGAUUGCUUUAUCUCUUUUCCAAUACAGUUUUUUUUUUUUUUAACGU